UCGGUGAGGAUGGGAGAGGUUUGGAAGUGCUUUCGGUAAGCCAGGGGUAGAAAUGGAACAUGGAGCUCACCCUUGCACAGCCGUGUGCUUCUUCCUUUGAGCUGCUACCAUGGCUCCCGUGGCUGCAGGAGCUCAAGCUUCCCCUUCCCAUUUAUGGUGAGGGUGAUGGUAGCGCAUAGAUAACACCAAGCAGAGAGCCUGAGUCUUUGUUAGCGCUCAUGAGUGCUAGUUAAAUUUACCCCUGACCAGGUCUGGGAAGGCACAGAGUGUGCCUCGGCAUGUGUAUGUGGAAGGGGCAUUGACUCUGUGCCAGCAAGGGCCCUGCCACGCGUGUUACCUACAGUUUGCGGGCUGCUGACCUGAAUUGGUCCAGGUUGGCUGCCUGCACAUUCAGAAACGUAAAACUAAGUUCAGUUAUAAGAUCUCUAAAGGAAACAUGUUCAGGGGGUCAGUCCUCCUUACCCAUCCAGAGGUCAGUUUAGGGAUUCAGAGGGACAAAAACUGGAAUACAUCUCAAGAAAUCAUAGGGUUCUAAUGAAAAACCAGUUAGAGCAGACAGAUGGCCGACACAUACUUCCAACUUUGUUUAGGAUAUUUAGAGGAGUUAUUUUUAUAUCAUGUGAAGGCAAUGCCUGACAGCAGGUGUUAGUCACCAUCAUUUAGACAGUGUCUAAUAGAGCCUUAGGUAUGGAAGCAGGAUUGCUGGCAUUUCCUUUUGUCAUUUUCUCUUAAGAUGUCAAACAUACUUUUUUAACAGCAUUUUUAAUGAUUUCAGGGGACAGUUUACCAGCUCUCAUCUCUGAGCUGCUGACAGACUCAAAAUAGAACAUUCUUUCCAUGUCUUUAUAAACCAAGUGUUUCAAGGAAAAGAAUAUCAGGCAAAUUUAAAAGAAAAAAAUGUGGAGCUAAUUUAUCUCUUUCUGUGUGGGGGGAAAAAAAAACUGAUGCAAGAGGGCAGAUGGCUUAAGGAUUACGGACAAGGUAAGAGGUCAGAAAGAAGUACCUUGCAAAAAAGAGAGACAUUCUACCAAUUCUUAGUUGCAAUCUCACUUUCAUCUUUUUAUCUCCAGUAGCACUUUUUCUACAAUAUAUUUUUUCUACAUGUAUUUGAAUCUUUGGUGAUAGCUGAACAGUCAGUGUAAUGAAAGUUUGUGCAUUGUUUUGUGUUCCUAAAAAUAGAUUAAUAUUACUUUUUUAUCCUAAUGUAUGACAUUGAAUGCUAAUGUCACGUAUGUCUGUGUUUCACCAACAAAUUAUUGUGGAUGAGACAUGAGCCAUUUUAGAGCUCAACAAAUCUCCAAAUCUUGAGCUUGGUGAGUAGUAGGUUGGGUUAUAUGCAAAGUCAAGACCUGGAGGGUUAGGCACUGAUGAGGGAGAGUAGGCAAUGAAUGGUAAAGAACAUU
RNAcentral lists this long non-coding RNA (1403 nucleotides) under Felis catus (domestic cat). RNAcentral describes it as "lncRNA (ENSFCAG00000050730.1)". Lineage: Eukaryota; Metazoa; Chordata; Mammalia; Carnivora; Felidae. The record is from RNAcentral.